CAGGGAGACAACAAAAUGUUUAAUAUUAUUAUUUUGUCACCUUAGGUCGAUCGGUAUCUCACAUUCUUAAUUUAUUAAGAAUUUCAUUUCCUAAGUUUUCUAGGUCACACCCAUUAUUUUUCCUGGGCCAUUAGCUCAGGUGGUUAGAGCGCACCCCUGAUAAGGGUGAGGUCCCUGGUUCAAGUCCAGGAUGGCCCAUAUCUCUAUGUUGGGGGUAUAGCUCAGUUGGUAGAGCGCCUGCUUUGCAAGCAGGAUGUCAGCGGUUCGAGUCCGCUUACCUCCACUGAUUACCACCUCUACCAUAAUCUGUAGAAAGGAAAAUUUUGUGAUGUGAUCAACUUUCUGAACGAAUCUAGCUUCUUAAUAAAACCAUUAAGAUGCUGGACUCAUUGAAUUAAUUUCAUUGUUUUCAGAGAACCUUGACAACUGCAUAGAUUAUUUUUAAAGACAAUAAGCAUCUUUAUGAUGCAGAUUUAUUAUUUGUGCGAAUGCAUUAAUAACAAUUCUAUUAAGCUGAUGCUUCAAUUUUGAAGUUAUU
Molecule: transfer RNA, 538 nt
Filed under: uncultured cyanobacterium
Lineage: Bacteria; Bacillati; Cyanobacteriota
Description: partial 16S-23S ribosomal RNA intergenic spacer
Rfam family: tRNA (bases 211-283)
Source: RNAcentral